This 443-nucleotide ribosomal RNA is filed under the name uncultured bacterium. RNAcentral's name for it is "partial 16S ribosomal RNA". It matches the Rfam family "Bacterial small subunit ribosomal RNA", at positions 338 to 795 of the family's 1533-position model. The record is from RNAcentral.
CCUACGGGAGGCUGCAGUGGGGAAUCUUGGGCAAUGGGCGCAAGCCUGACCCAGCAACGCCGCGUGAAGGAAUAAGGCUUUCGGGUUGUAAACUUCUUUUCUCAGGGACGAAGCAAGUGACGGUACCUGAGGAAUAAGCCACGGCUAACUACGUGCCAGCAGCCGCGGUAAUACGUAGGUGGCAAGCGUUAUCCGGAUUUACUGGGUGUAAAGGGCGGGUAGGCGGGAAAGCAAGUCAGAUGUGAAAACCAUGGGCUCAACCUGUGGCCUGCAUUUGAAACUGUUUUUCUUGAGUACUGGAGAGGCAGACGGAAUUCCUAGUGUAGCGGUGAAAUGCGUAGAUAUUAGGAGGAACACCAGUGGCGAAGGCGGUCUGCUGGACAGCAACUGACGCUGAGGCGCGAAAGCGUGGGGAGCAAACAGGAUUAGAUACCCUGGUAGUC